GAUGAAGAACGCAUCGAAAUGCGAUACUUGGUGUGAAUUGCAGAAUCCCGUGAACCAUCGAGUCUUUGAACGCAAGUUGCGCCCGAAGCCAUUAGGCCGAGGGCACGCCUGCCUGGGCGUCACACGUCGUUGCCCCCCCAUCUACUCCUUCGGGAUUGCGGGGGGCGGAUGAUGGCCUCCCGUGCGCCUCGCCGCGCGGUUGGCAUAAAUGCCAAGUCCUCGGCGACGCACGCCACAACAAUCGGUGGUUGCGAAACCUCGGUUGCCCGUCGUGUGCGGUCGUCGCGCAUCGAGGGCUCGAAAAAAUUGCCGGGUUCCGGCUCGGCUUUCAACGCGACCCCAGGUCAGGCGGGGUUACCCGCUGAAUUUAAGCAUAUCAAUAAGCGGAGGA
Molecule: unclassified non-coding RNA, 391 nt
Filed under: soil metagenome
Description: partial contains 5.8S ribosomal RNA, internal transcribed spacer 2, and large subunit ribosomal RNA
Rfam family: 5.8S ribosomal RNA (bases 1-122)
Source: RNAcentral